RNAcentral lists this ribosomal RNA (566 nucleotides) under Algoriphagus sp. LB10-G-9-28-S-W. Its description in RNAcentral is "bacterial SSU rRNA". It matches the Rfam family "Bacterial small subunit ribosomal RNA", at positions 106 to 674 of the family's 1533-position model. The record is from RNAcentral. Lineage: Bacteria; Pseudomonadati; Bacteroidota; Cytophagia; Cytophagales; Cyclobacteriaceae.
GUGCGUAGCGCGAUGCACGCUACCUCAUACUGGGGGAUAGCCCGGAGAAAUCUGGAGUAAUACCCCAGGCACAGCACAGGGCAUCUGCGAGCUGUUAAAGAUUCAUCGGUAUGAAAUGGGCAUGCGUCUGAUUAGCUAGUUGGCGGUGUAACGGACCACCAAGGCGACGAUAAGUAGGGGUUCUGAGAGGAAGGUCCCCCACACUGGCACUGACAUACGGGCCAGACUCCUACGGGAGGCAGCAGUAGGGAAUAUUGGGCAAUGGACGAGAGUCUGACCCAGCCAUGCCGCGUGCAGGAAGAAGGCCUAUUGGGUUGUAAACUGCUUUUAUCUGGGAAGAAAAGGCCCAUGCGUGGGACAUUGCCGGUACCAGAUGAAUAAGCACCGGCUAACUCCGUGCCAGCAGCCGCGGUAAUACGGAGGGUGCAAGCGUUGUCCGGAUUUAUUGGGUUUAAAGGGUGCGUAGGCGGCUAUUUAAGUCAGCGGUGAAAGACUCCGGCUCAACCGGAGCAGUGCCAUUGAUACUGGAUAGCUUGAGUGUUGGAGGGGUACAUGGAAUUGAUGGU